GACAGAGGAUGCAAGCGUUAUCCGGAAUGAUUGGGCGUAAAGCGUCUGUAGGUGGCUUUUCAAGUCCGCCGUCAAAUCCCAGGGCUCAACCCUGGACAGGCGGUGGAAACUACCAAGCUGGAGUACGGUAGGGGCAGAGGGAAUUUCCGGUGGAGCGGUGAAAUGCGUAGAUAUCGAGAGGAACACCAGUGGCGAAGGCGAGUCUCUGGACGACUCCUGACACUGAGGCACGAAAGCUAGGGGAGCAAACAGG
RNAcentral lists this ribosomal RNA (253 nucleotides) under uncultured bacterium. Its description in RNAcentral is "partial 16S ribosomal RNA". It matches the Rfam family "Bacterial small subunit ribosomal RNA", at positions 524 to 776 of the family's 1533-position model. The record is from RNAcentral.